Molecule: ribosomal RNA, 541 nt
Filed under: Alternaria alternata
Lineage: Eukaryota; Fungi; Ascomycota; Dothideomycetes; Pleosporales; Pleosporaceae
Description: eukaryotic LSU rRNA
Rfam family: 5.8S ribosomal RNA (bases 187-340)
Source: RNAcentral
GAACCUGCGGAGGGAUCAUUACACAAAUAUGAAGGCGGGCUGGAACCUCUCGGGGUUACAGCCUUGCUGAAUUAUUCACCCUUGUCUUUUGCGUACUUCUUGUUUCCUUGGUGGGUUCGCCCACCACUAGGACAAACAUAAACCUUUUGUAAUUGCAAUCAGCGUCAGUAACAAAUUAAUAAUUACAACUUUCAACAACGGAUCUCUUGGUUCUGGCAUCGAUGAAGAACGCAGCGAAAUGCGAUAAGUAGUGUGAAUUGCAGAAUUCAGUGAAUCAUCGAAUCUUUGAACGCACAUUGCGCCCUUUGGUAUUCCAAAGGGCAUGCCUGUUCGAGCGUCAUUUGUACCCUCAAGCUUUGCUUGGUGUUGGGCGUCUUGUCUCUAGCUUUGCUGGAGACUCGCCUUAAAGUAAUUGGCAGCCGGCCUACUGGUUUCGGAGCGCAGCACAAGUCGCACUCUCUAUCAGCAAAGGUCUAGCAUCCAUUAAGCCUUUUUUUCAACUUUUGACCUCGGAUCAGGUAGGGAUACCCGCUGAACUUAA